GAUCGUCUAAAGUAUUGCUCAUUUUUUUUAGCAACAGUCAAAAGUAUCUUUAUCAAUUUCAAAUUGGUAAUGAUACUUUUGACUGUUGCUAAAAUGUGAAC
RNAcentral lists this small RNA (101 nucleotides) under Mytilus galloprovincialis (Mediterranean mussel). Lineage: Eukaryota; Metazoa; Mollusca; Bivalvia; Mytilida; Mytilidae. The record is from RNAcentral.